UCUUUUUUGUUAUAAUGAUUCAGCAAGGAAGUUUUAUUGGACGGUAGCUGAUUCCAAACGUUAGGUGGUGGUGCUUAUGCAACACAUAAAUCCGAAGAAAGGAUCAGUCACGAUGAGCGUUUACGACGCUUUAUCGCUAAUGCUAGCUUUCGGUACGUUUCUGAUCGCACUGUUAAGCUACA
The sequence is a small RNA, 182 nucleotides long. It matches the Rfam family "Listeria sRNA rli28". The record is from Rfam.